RNAcentral lists this RNase P RNA (390 nucleotides) under Bacillus sp. AG4(2022). RNAcentral describes it as "RNase P RNA component class B". It matches the Rfam family "Bacterial RNase P class B". From Rfam's summary of the family: Ribonuclease P (RNase P) is a ubiquitous endoribonuclease, found in archaea, bacteria and eukarya as well as chloroplasts and mitochondria. The record is from RNAcentral. Lineage: Bacteria; Bacillati; Bacillota; Bacilli; Caryophanales; Bacillaceae.
ACGUUCGGGUAAUCGCUGCGGCAGCUUGCUGCUGCAGAGGAAAGUCCAUGCUCGCACGGACUGAGAUGUCCGUAGUGUUCGUGCCUGGCGAAGUCAUAAGCCAGGGCAGCCGGGCGAUUGCGCGGCUGACGGCAGGGAAAAUGCCUAAGUCCUUCGGGAUAUGGCAUGAAUACCUUGAAAGUGCCACAGUGACGGAGCCUUUCCAGAAAUGGGAAGGGUGGAACGAGGUAAACCCCGCGAGCGAGAAACCCAAAUAAUGGUAGGGGCACUUUCUCUGAGGAAAUGAACAAGGAGAAGGACAGAUCUUUAUAUCUGUAGAUAGAUGAUUGCCGCCUUAGUACGAGACUCAGGUCGAUUGCAGUACAAAGGAACAAAACAUGGCUUACAGAA